Corythoichthys intestinalis (scribbled pipefish) is the source of this 1064-nucleotide long non-coding RNA. RefSeq lists it as uncharacterized. The transcript is spliced from 5 exons. The record is from RefSeq and is a predicted model, not a curated record. Lineage: Eukaryota; Metazoa; Chordata; Actinopteri; Syngnathiformes; Syngnathidae.
AUUAAGCAGCGAACUGGCUAAUGCUGCUUAUGCUUUUUACCUUUUUUUUUUCACAAUGAACAGUGUAGUUUUCAUCAUAUUGCACUCUUAUUUUUCAUUAUGUACAUGCCUGCAAUUCGCAGCUCGCUGCUUUUGUUGUUGUAUGGCAUUGUUGUUUUGCCUUCAUUUGUUUUGUCUGGUCCUUUGUAGUUUGAAUCUUGUCACAUGAUCCAAAUAUUUAUUUUUUUACUAGCUCCAAGAUCACCACCCCAUUGGGAAGAAACUAAAUCACGACUCCCAAAUGGUAGUCUUCCCAUACAGAUACAGAGAUGUCACACAGAUCCAAGUGGAAAAAACAUUGACAGUCAAUCAACAGGGGGACAUGGAAAGUGCUGGAAGGUUGGAAGUGAAAUAGAGGGUUUUCCGGGACAGCCAUAGGGGAAGGACUGUGGCAUCUUCCUGUUGAUGGUAGGUGAGUUUAACUGUCCAAUUUUGUCCUCUGUGAUAUUUGUAUUCAUUUAUCUAUUUGUAGUAUGCUCUUUGCACUGUUCUGGAUGCUCUCUUUGAGUUUAACCAUUGCAAAUUGAAGUUCACCGAAUCAUUCAAAUUGGGCUACAAAAUAUCCUUGUCGCUAUUCUUUAUUUACCCUUGUUUUUAAUUUUUGUUAGACUGAUAUGCCAACUCUGAGGAAGUGGUGGUGUAUAUUGCUAGCGAACAAUUUCAAACUUGGGUUCAUGUUAAGUCUUUGAAACUGUUGAUAUAACAUUCAUAGGAAAGCUGGUGCACAGCACCUUAAUUUUUUGUUGGAAAUUGUGGAGUACUUAUUUUUGUGUUUUUUCAACUUAUGUGAGCCACAUGAAAGAGUUUGCCCAUUGGACCGAUAAGGCAACAGCAUCACUCCAGGGUGAAGUGCCACCAGUCUAUCAGUUGAAGAAGUGAAAUUUGGAUAUAAUUGCUGAGAGGUGCAACCACAGCUCCUUCAAGUUAGUGGUUGCCCACUGCAAGAAGAUAUGGCAGGAAAAAAAGUGAACAGUUUUGGUAAAAUUAUUGUGCAAGACAGCACAAAAGCCUCAGACAAGGUUAGG